Molecule: transfer RNA, 73 nt
Filed under: Oceanobacillus piezotolerans
Lineage: Bacteria; Bacillati; Bacillota; Bacilli; Caryophanales; Bacillaceae
Rfam family: tRNA
About the family: Transfer RNA (tRNA) molecules are approximately 80 nucleotides in length. Their secondary structure includes four short double-helical elements and three loops (D, anti-codon, and T loops). Further hydrogen bonds mediate the characteristic L-shaped molecular structure. tRNAs have two regions of fundamental functional importance: the anti-codon, which is responsible for specific mRNA codon recognition, and the 3' end, to which the tRNAs corresponding amino acid is attached (by aminoacyl-tRNA synthetases). tRNAs cope with the degeneracy of the genetic code in two manners: having more than one tRNA (with a specific anti-codon) for a particular amino acid; and 'wobble' base-pairing, i.e. permitting non-standard base-pairing at the 3rd anti-codon position.
Source: Rfam by way of RNAcentral
GCUUCCAUAGCUCAGCAGGUAGAGCACUUCCAUGGUAAGGAAGGGGUCGUCAGUUCGAAUCUGAUUGGAAGCU